RNAcentral lists this small RNA (529 nucleotides) under Pongo abelii (Sumatran orangutan). RNAcentral's name for it is "retained intron". The record is from RNAcentral. Lineage: Eukaryota; Metazoa; Chordata; Mammalia; Primates; Hominidae.
AUUCCGGGGCCCUGGUUUCUUGGCGCGAUGAGGUUCCGGUUCUGUGGUGAUCUGGACUGUCCCGACUGGGUCUUGGCAGAAAUCAGCACGCUGGCCAAGAUGGUUGAUCCUCUGUGAAGUUGCGGCUGCUCUGCAGCCAGGUACUAAAGGAGCUGCUGGGACAGGGAAUUGAUUAUGAGAAGAUCCUGAAGCUCACGGCUGACGCCAAGUUUGAGUCAGGUGAUGUGAAGGCCACAGUGGCAGUGCUGAGUUUCAUCCUCUCCAGUGCGGCCAAGCACAGUGUCGAUGGCGAAUCCUUGUCCAGUGAACUGCAGCAGCUGGGGCUGCCCAAAGGUACGGGUUGUGGGUGGGCAGCUGGGCAGCCUGUGGGCCAAGGGCUGCUAGAGAGGGGGACGGACCCUGAGGUGUACCCUGCCCUGUUUGGGCCAGGAGCCCAAGCUCAGCUCCCACCUGCUACCUCCAGAGCUACUCCAUUCUACCCCCAGAGCACGCGGCCAGCCUGUGCCGCUGUUAUGAGGAGAAGCAAAGC